Molecule: transfer RNA, 90 nt
Filed under: Pigmentiphaga daeguensis
Lineage: Bacteria; Pseudomonadati; Pseudomonadota; Betaproteobacteria; Burkholderiales; Alcaligenaceae
Also listed under: 5 other names
Description: tRNA-Ser
Rfam family: tRNA
About the family: Transfer RNA (tRNA) molecules are approximately 80 nucleotides in length. Their secondary structure includes four short double-helical elements and three loops (D, anti-codon, and T loops).
Source: RNAcentral
GGACAGGUGGCCGAGUGGUUGAAGGCGCACGCCUGGAACGCGUGUAUAUGUGAAAGCGUAUCGUGGGUUCGAAUCCCACCCUGUCCGCCA